CCUACGGGAGGCAGCAGUGGGGAAUUUUGGACAAUGGGGGCAACCCUGAUCCAGCCAUUCCGCGUGAGUGAAGAAGGCCUUCGGGUUGUAAAGCUCUUUCGGCAGGAACGAAACGGUGAGCUCUAACAUAGCUUGCUAAUGACGGUACCUGAAGAAGAAGCACCGGCUAACUACGUGCCAGCAGCCGCGGUAAUACGUAGGGUGCGAGCGUUAAUCGGAAUUACUGGGCGUAAAGCGUGCGCAGGCGGUUGUGUAAGACAGGUGUGAAAUCCCCGGGCUUAACCUGGGAACUGCGCUUGUGACUGCACAGCUAGAGUAUGGCAGAGGGGGGUGGAAUUCCACGUGUAGCAGUGAAAUGCGUAGAGAUGUGGAGGAACACCGAUGGCGAAGGCAGCCCCCUGGGCCAAUACUGACGCUCAUGCACGAAAGCGUGGGGAGCAAACAGGAUUAGAUACCCUGGUAGUCCACGCCCUAAACGAUGUCGACUAGGUGUUCGGUGAGGAGACUCAUUGAGUACCGCAGCUAACGCGUGAAGUCGACCGCCUGGGGAGUACGGUCGCAAGAUUAAAACUCAAAGGAAUUGACGG
RNAcentral lists this ribosomal RNA (587 nucleotides) under uncultured Methyloversatilis sp. RNAcentral describes it as "bacterial SSU rRNA". It matches the Rfam family "Bacterial small subunit ribosomal RNA", at positions 338 to 916 of the family's 1533-position model. The record is from RNAcentral. Lineage: Bacteria; Pseudomonadati; Pseudomonadota; Betaproteobacteria; Nitrosomonadales; Sterolibacteriaceae.